CUGGCUCAGGACGAACGCUGGCGGCAUGCCUAACACAUGCAAGUCGAACGGGGGUAGCAAUACCCUAGUGGCGAACGGGUGAGUAACACAUAAGCAAUCUGCCCUUCACAGGGGGAUAACAGCGGGAAACUGCUGCUAAUACCGCAUAAGACCACGGUACCGCAUGGUACAGGGGUAAAAACGAAUCAGUGGUGAAGGAUGAGCUUAUGUCCCAUUAGCUAGUUGGUGAGAUAACAGCCCACCAAGGCGACGAUGGGUAGCCGACCUGAGAGGGUGAUCGGCCACACUGGAACUGAGACACGGUCCAGACUCCUACGGGAGGCAGCAGUGGGGAAUAUUGGGCAAUGGAGGAAAAACCUCUUACCCAGCAAUGCCGCGUGAGUGAAGAGGGUCUUCGGAUUGUAAAGCUCUUUGAUUGGGGACGAAGAAAGUGACGGUACCCAAAGAACAAGCCCCGGCUAACUACGUGCCAGCAGCGGC
RNAcentral lists this ribosomal RNA (480 nucleotides) under uncultured bacterium. RNAcentral's name for it is "bacterial SSU rRNA". It matches the Rfam family "Bacterial small subunit ribosomal RNA", at positions 19 to 518 of the family's 1533-position model. The record is from RNAcentral.